Echinops telfairi (small Madagascar hedgehog) is the source of this 1196-nucleotide RNA transcript. It is a transcript of the gene named tumor suppressor 2, mitochondrial calcium regulator, with no coding region annotated. NCBI's taxonomy places the organism in Eukaryota, Metazoa, Chordata, Mammalia, Afrosoricida, Tenrecidae. The transcript is spliced from 2 exons. The record is from RefSeq and is a predicted model, not a curated record.
AUGGGGAUCUGGCUCACGAGUUCUACGAGGAGACAAUCGUCACCAAGAAUGGGCAGAAACGAGCCAAGCUGAGGCGGGUACAAAAGAACCUGAUUCCUCAGGGCAUCGUGAAGCUGGAUACCCCCCGCAUCCACGUGGAUUUCCCUGUGAUCCUCUACGAAGUGUGAGUCUCAGCAGGAAACUCCCUGGCUCAAGGUGUGGCUUCCCCGAAGAACCCAGGCCAAUGCACCACCCGGAAUAAACUCCUCUGUGAGCGGAGCAGUCCCGCCGUGGUGGCUGGGUGUUGGUCUGUGUAUGAACAAGAAGACAGAACUACCCUGGGCGGGAAUGCCUGGGUCCUGUGCCCUUGCCUGACCUGCUUGCUUCCAAGCUUGCCCGGGCCCCAGCCCUGGUAGAGGCUACAGCACUUUACAAGCAAGGUCUGCCUUCUCCCAUCCCCUGGGCUGUGGGGGCUAUACACAAAUGGGGAUCCCUUUGCCCUCACCUCCCUCGUCCCCUUGUUGGAGCGUUUCAGCCGUUUGCUACCUCGAAUCCUCCUGUGUUGGACAGAGGCUGGGGCAACACUAGCCGAAUGCUUCCUGCCCAGCUGUCCCCACUCCCAGCUGGAUGGACACUUUGCUGGCAGUUGACAGUUGAGGGGAUUGGUGUGGGAGGCAUCUUCUGCCACCCAUGGCUGGGCCGACCUCUCCCCACUGCAAUAGUUGUUGCACUGGCUACCCAGUUGAGGGUGCAGGCCAAGUACAGGAAGGGGAGGGGUGGGGGGUGCCUGGGCCUACAGGGAGUUGCCCCACUGCCAUCUCUAAUCCCCCUGCCUUUGCACCCCCACCCCACCCCCACCGUCCCUCAGCCCACCAUCCUGAGAUAUGAGACAGCACCCCAGGGCUGGUGCCAAUAGCUCUCAGGAGCCCCCUCACCCCUGCCCCAUAGCCCCUUCAGGAUCAGUCAAGGGAAAGUACUGGAGCCCCCACCUUUUGUGCAAAGAAGACUUAAAUGUGAAGGUUUGUAAAUAGUCUAGUCUGUGAUGAUGUGGGAGCCGAGUCUGAUCUCUGUGGAGAGACUGCUUUUUAAAACUCCCUUACUGGGCAAGCUGCGUGCUUCUAGAGGGAGGGAGAGUGGCUUGGGGAAGGCAGUCCCCAGGCAGGGAAGGCUGCUGUGUUCUUUGUUCAGUUUCAAUAAAAUGAUUUGUAGAGCCCUCA